GCUAACUGAUACUAAUUGCCCGUGAGGCUUAACCAUACAACACCCAAGGGGUUU
RNAcentral lists this ribosomal RNA (54 nucleotides) under Vibrio parahaemolyticus. Its description in RNAcentral is "partial 23S ribosomal RNA". Lineage: Bacteria; Pseudomonadati; Pseudomonadota; Gammaproteobacteria; Vibrionales; Vibrionaceae. The record is from RNAcentral.